RNAcentral lists this ribosomal RNA (447 nucleotides) under uncultured bacterium. RNAcentral describes it as "bacterial SSU rRNA". It matches the Rfam family "Bacterial small subunit ribosomal RNA", at positions 329 to 792 of the family's 1533-position model. The record is from RNAcentral.
AACCAGACUCCUACGGGAGGCAGCAGUGGGGAAUAUUGCACAAUGGGGGAAACCCUGAUGCAGCGACGCCGCGUGAGCGAGGAAGUAUUUCGGUAUGUAAAGCUCUGUCAGCAGGGAAGAAGAAUGACGGUACCUGAAGAAGAAGCACCGGCUAAAUACGUGCCAGCAGCCGCGGUAAUACGUAUGGUGCAAGCGUUAUCCGGAUUUACUGGGUGUAAAGGGGGCGCAGACGGCAAUGCAAGCCAGGAGUGAAAGCCCGGGGCCCAACCCCGGGACUGCUCUGGAAACUGCGUCGCUGGAGUACGGGAGGGGCAGGCGGAAUUCCUGGUGUAGCGGUGAAAUGCGUAGAUAUCAGGAGGAACACCGGCGGCGAAGGCGGCCUGCUGGACCGUGACUGACGUUGAGGCUCGAGAGCGUGGGGAGCAAACAGGAUUAGAUACCCCUGUA